This 512-nucleotide ribosomal RNA is filed under the name uncultured bacterium. RNAcentral's name for it is "partial 16S ribosomal RNA". It matches the Rfam family "Bacterial small subunit ribosomal RNA", at positions 28 to 507 of the family's 1533-position model. The record is from RNAcentral.
GAUGAACGCUGGCGGCGUGCCUAAUACAUGCAAGUCGAACGAAACUUCUUUAUCACCGAGUGCUUGCACUCACCGAUAAAGAGUUGAGUGGCGAACGGGUGAGUAACACGUGGGCAACCUGCCCAAAAGAGGGGGAUAACACUUGGAAACAGGUGCUAAUACCGCAUAACCAUAGUUACCGCAUGGUAACUAUGUAAAAGGUGGCUAUACUACCGCUUUUGGAUGGGCCCGCGGCGCAUUAGCUAGUUGGUAGGGUAAAGGCUUACCAAGGCAAUGAUGCGUAGCCGAAUUGAGAGGUUGAUCGGCCACAUUGGGACUGAGACACGGCCCAAACUCCUACGGGAGGCAGCAGUAGGGAAUCUUCCACAAUGGGCGAAAGCCUGAUUGAGCAACGCCGCGUGGGUGAAGAAGGUCUUCGGAUCGUAAAACCCUGUUGUUAGAGAAGAAAGUGCGUGAGAGUAACUGUUCACGUUUCGACGGUAUCUAACCAGAAAGCCACGGCUAACUACGUG